This 64-nucleotide transfer RNA is filed under the name Argas miniatus. RNAcentral's name for it is "tRNA-Ser". The record is from RNAcentral. Lineage: Eukaryota; Metazoa; Arthropoda; Arachnida; Ixodida; Argasidae.
GAUUUCUUAACUAUAUAAAGUAUGUAUUUUGAAAAUACAAAAAAGAUUCCUCAUCUAGAAAUCU